AUGGCGGGAUACGCGAAUUUUGGAGUAUCCCCGAAAUUCGAAUUAAAAAAAAAGAAAAAACGACUGGGAUACGCCGGGAUACGCAGGGACACGUUAGGGAUACGGCCUGGCCCAAAAACACACCCCCGGGCCAGCCACGGCCCAAUAUGUAACCCUAUUUUGCAGGGUCUCCAGCGUGCCAUACGAGCUGCUCCCUGCUUCCCAGCUCGAACAGAAGGAGCCGCCACCUUCUGGAUCGAAGUUCCCACCACCUGGGCUCGCCGCCGCCGGCGCCGGCGACUCCUGGAUUCGACGGCGACUCCUCCAUCAAGCACCAGCAGCAGCAGUCUCUCUCUCUCCUCGCCUCCUCGGCUCCUCGCAGCUGUAGCCUCUGGUAGCAGCAACUCUUCUGCUGCAGUCCGCCAAAAGGAAAUGAUGGUCUACAAAAUCCACUCCCAUGCCCACAUCCUAGACCUGCAGGCCAGCGCCGAUCAGCUGGGCCACUCCAAUAAGUCCAUGCUUGUGAAUCUUGUCUCUCUGGAGUCGGUGCGCAUAGCGUGCGAGUCGUAUGCACUCCUCCGCCAGCUGAUCAACGAGUCGUGGAUCUGGGCAUGCUCGGAGCUGAAAAUCCUCUUGGUUGUGGCAGGCUUGUCGCUGGAAAUCCAAAAGCUUGAGCAUGAUGUGUUACCCCAGCUCAUGGUUCAGGAGGCCAAGCUGGAAGAGGGCGCCCUGGAAGCCCUCCUACUCAUGAAGAACUCAGCAAUUACGCUCUUAGAUCUGAGGAAGUGCUUUCAGUUAUCCUUGGGCGUAUUGCUUGCCGAGGAGGAUCUGGUCUUAGCCCGAGUCAAAGAGCUGAGCAUAAUGCUAAAGGAUACUGCUGAUGAUGUACUCAAAGGUAAUUGCGACAUUGUCUGUCUUCAGGAGCGUGCCCAAUCGCUGGUCAAGCUGGUCACCGAUGUGUUGGAGACCCCGGUUCGUUUCUGUGAUCCUGAUGAGUAUUCUGAUGAGUAG
RNAcentral lists this ribosomal RNA (990 nucleotides) under Triticum aestivum (bread wheat). RNAcentral describes it as "partial small subunit ribosomal RNA". Lineage: Eukaryota; Viridiplantae; Streptophyta; Magnoliopsida; Poales; Poaceae. The record is from RNAcentral.